RNAcentral lists this ribosomal RNA (253 nucleotides) under uncultured bacterium. RNAcentral's name for it is "partial 16S ribosomal RNA". It matches the Rfam family "Bacterial small subunit ribosomal RNA", at positions 524 to 776 of the family's 1533-position model. The record is from RNAcentral.
UACGUAGGCAGCAAGCGUUGUUCGGAGUUACUGGGCGUAAAGGGUGUGUAGGCGGUUCUUUAAGUUUGGUGUGAAAUCUCCCGGCUCAACUGGGAGGGUGCGCCGAAUACUGAGGGACUAGAGUACGGGAGAGGAAAGUGGAAUUCCUGGUGUAGCGGUGAAAUGCGUAGAUAUCAGGAGGAACACCGGUGGCGAAGGCGGCAUUCUGGACCGGCAUUGACGCUGAGGCGCGAAAGCCAGGGGAGCAAACGGG